This is an RNA transcript of Conger conger (European conger), 3351 nucleotides long. It is a transcript of the gene named guanine nucleotide-binding protein G(I)/G(S)/G(O) subunit gamma-13-like, with no coding region annotated. The record is from RefSeq and is a predicted model, not a curated record. The transcript has 5 exons. NCBI's taxonomy places the organism in Eukaryota, Metazoa, Chordata, Actinopteri, Anguilliformes, Congridae.
ACUCGGGCGCGCGCGCACAUACAUACAUAGAUAUAUACAUACAGACGCACACACACACAGGACGGCAAAAUCGACUGAGCAGCGCAGACACACUCAACACCCCGACCACAACUAAUACAGCAUCAAUCGGACUGCACACUGCAGUGCACGCCAACCCGGACUUUUCCAUCUCAACACUAACUGGGAAAAAUAAAUAUAGCCUAGAUAUGUUUAAAUGAAUAGAUGUGCCGUAUUCUUCGUCGUCUUUAGUUUCAUUGCGGAAACGGAGGACGUUACUUUGCAUCUGGACCUAAAUACAUACUGAACACUGAACGCGCGAAGGCUGGGACAUUCUGUAAUCGUUUAUAAGGGAGAGGGGCGGAAAAUAACUGCGUUUCCCUGCAAAACGAAGAACCUCCUGACCGUGCCACUGCACCAGAUCUGUAGCUACAGGUACAUCGGUGAGGUAAGCGAGAAAACGCUGACCAAAACACCAGAAGCUACCUUGUGUUGGGCAAGAGUUUAAGAGUUUCACCUUUGACCUGCCGAUCUGAGGGACACAGAGCUCCAGAGGAACUUCAGGUGAGACACGGGCAAGACACAGGUGAGACGCAGUCAUGGACGAGAUGGACCUGCCCCAGAUGAAGAAGGAGGUGGAGAGCCUGAAGUACCAGUUGGCCUUCAAGAGGGAGAAAUCCUCCAAAACCGUCACAGACCUAGUCAAGUGGAUCGAGGACGGUGUCCCGGAGGAUCCAUUCCUGAACCCGGAACUGAUGAAGAACAACCCCUGGGUGGAGAAGGGCAAGUGCGCCAUCCUUUAAUGGCCCCGUCCCAACGCCACGCUGCACCCACACUGCCGGACGGAGCGACCCCUCUCUCACGAACUGCUGCUCACUGGAUGUUUUUUGUUUUUUGCACCAUUCUCUGCAAGCUUUAGAGACUGUUGCAUGAAAAUCCCAGGAGAUCAGCAGUUUCUUAGAUACUCAAACCACUCUGUCUGGCACCAACAAUCAUUCCACAGUCAAAGUCACAUUUCUUCUUCAUUCUGACAUUAGGUCUGAGAACCUCUUGACCAUGUCUACAUGCUAUUAUAUAUUUAGUUGCUGCUACAUGAUUGGCUGAUUCAAUAUUUACAUCAACAAGCUGGUGUACAGUUCUACCUAAUAAAGUGAUCACUGAGUGUAUAUUCUAUGAAGGCACAAUUCAAUAUGCAGUUUAGACCACAGACAGAAGACUACAGCGUGGUCAGUUCAUGUCUGCAGCUGUAUUUUUGUAUUAUUAAAAGUAUGCUGAUGUAUAGUCACUUUUGCUCCACUCUGUACAUAUCUGCCUUAUGUUACCAGCACUUACAGAUAACAACACAUAGCAUAUUCACACUCACACAGUCCAUUACACAUGUACAGAUAACCUGACCUGCUUAACUUAUCAACUCUAUUUAUAUUUAUUUAUUUGAUUCAUGAUCUAUUAUGUUAUUGAUCACAUAAUCCGUGGGUGCUGUCUGCUAUGGAAACUUGAAAUUGGCAUUUUAGUUUGUCCUUUCCUCUGAAGAAAAAAAAAAGAAGAUUCCAGAAAGCACCAGAUCACCAUUAGAUACUGCCUUGUACACCGUUUCUUCAAAGAAUGUAUUUCUUGUAGUUGGAGGUCACUCGGCCCCCGACUCCCUCAUGAGAAUACGCAUUAAAGUAAAAUCUGUCAUUUAAGGAAUGCAUUGUAAAAUUCUUGUCAAAAUGUGUUGUUAAUAAUUUGAAUAUGUAUCCAUCCAGGAACAGGAUGUUAUGCACAUACUGCGGAACUCACUGCAUUGUGAAACAAUCUACAGUACAUGUAAAUCUAAAAAUGUGCGUACUCUAUUUAGAAGUGGUGUGUUACGAAAGAGAGGCUGUAUGUUCUGUAGGCUGUAGUGGCAAAUGUGUUCCUUACAGUUGUGAUUUUACAGCAGUUUAGCAGAAGCUGAAAUGUGUCAAAAGAGGAACAGAGCGACGUGCUUGUGGGCCGAUGGCAGCACGUCUAUCAUGUUUGCAAUGUUUCCGAAGUAGGGGGUUUAUUUACGGCUAAGGCUAGUGUGUGUGUCUGUGUGUAUGUGUGUGUGAGCUCAAUAAUGUUUAAAGCAAAGGGCAAAGACAUUUUUUUCUUUAUUUGGCUCCAUUUUAGAUUUGGAGUACUCCAAUUGGGUGCUCCAUUUUAGAUUUUGGAAUCGAACAAUUUGCACGUGGUUAAAGCACAGAUUCUCAGCUUUUAUUAAAGGGUAUUUUUAUCCACUUUGGUUUCACUGUGUAGAAAUUACAGCACCAUAAUGUUUGGGACAAAUGGCUUCACAGGUGUUUCUGAUGAGUCGUGUGUAUUUAAUUGCUACAUUUUGAUUGCUGUUGGAGUCAUGUCAUUGGUAUUUAUUGGCGCCCCGCAGCAGGAGAACCAGAGUUACUGUAUGUCAAUGACACUCAAGGAAGCCAUUAUGAGGCUGAGAAAUAAAAAACAAUCAGACACAUAGGCCAAACCUUAGGCUUACCAAAAUCAACAGUUUGGAACAUGGUUAGGAAAAAAGAGCACUGGUCAGCUCAGUAAUCGAAAAGGGCCUGGCAGGCCAAGGAAGACUUCUAUAGUUGAUGACCAAAGUAUUCGCACCAUAGUCAAGAAAAAAACCCAAACAACGAUUUAACAGAGCUAAAACAUUACACAGGCAAGCAUGUAAUUGACCUGUAGUUCAGGAACAGAACUACAGAGGUUAGACUGCAAGAUGCAAACCAAAAGUUAGUCACAAAACAACGGCCAGGUUACAGAAAGACAAACACUGGGCAAUUCUUAACUGGCCAGGUCAUCUUAUCUGAAUCCAAUUGAACAUGUGUUUCCUAUGCUGAAGAGAAAACCUAAGGCAACUAACCCCCAAAACAAGCAGAAGUUUAAGAUAGCUGCAGUACAGGCCUGGCAGAGGAUCAUCAUAGAAGAUACUCAGCAUCUGGGGAUGUCUACUGGUCACACUUCGAGCAGUCAUUGCAUGCAAAGGAUAUGUGACAAAGUAUGAAACAUUUCCCAAACAUUAUGGUGCCCUGACAUGGGGUGCUAUGUAUAAAAACUGCUGUAAUUUCAACCCAAAGUGUAUGAAUACCCUCAAAUAAAAGCUCUGAAUUUCCACUGUUUAAACACGUGUGAAUUGUUUGAUUACAAAUCCAGAGCCAACUCAAGAAAAAAUCUUCUGGCCAAACAUUAUUAUUAAGAGCUCACUGUAUAUGACCUGACUAUAUCUAUUGUUGGUUUGGAAAAUUAUGCAUAAGGUCAAGUACUAGUUAAUUGAUGAAAAGCAAUAAAUGACAAUUUUUUAUUGUAUGUUUUACAAAAAUGUUUGUCAUAUUGAAUAAAGCAGAGGAUUUUUCGACA